Molecule: ribosomal RNA, 1475 nt
Filed under: Candidatus Pelagibacter sp.
Lineage: Bacteria; Pseudomonadati; Pseudomonadota; Alphaproteobacteria; Candidatus Pelagibacterales; Candidatus Pelagibacteraceae
Description: bacterial SSU rRNA
Rfam family: Bacterial small subunit ribosomal RNA
Source: RNAcentral
AAACUUGAGAGUUUGAUCAUGGCUCAGAACGUACGCUGGCGGCACGCCUAACACAUGCAAGUCGAACGAAGUAGCAAUACUUAGUGGCAGACGGGUGAGUAACAUGUAGGUAUCUGCCCUUUGGCCUGGAAUAACACGAGGAAACUUGUGCUAAUACCGGAUAAGUCUUUACGGAGAAAGCUUUAUGCACCAUUGGAUGAGCCUGCACUUGAUUAGUUUGUUGGUGGGGUAAUGGCCUACCAAGACUGUGAUCAAUAGCUGAUUUGAGAGGAUGAUCAGCCACAUUGGGACUGAGACACGGCCCAAACUCCUACGGGAGGCAGCAGUGGGGAAUCUUGCACAAUGGAGGAAACUCUGAUGCAGCGAUGCCGCGUGAGUGAAGAAGGCCCUUGGGUUGUAAAGCUCUUUCGUCGGGGAAGAAAAUGACUGUACCCGAAUAAGAAGGUCCGGCUAACUUCGUGCCAGCAGCCGCGGUAAUACGAAGGGACCUAGCGUAGUUCGGAAUUACUGGGCUUAAAGAGUUCGUAGGUGGUUGAAAAAGUUGGUGGUGAAAUCCCAGAGCUUAACUCUGGAACUGCCAUCAAAACUUUUCAGCUAGAGUUUGAUAGAGGAAAGCAGAAUUUCUAGUGUAGAGGUGAAAUUCGUAGAUAUUAGAAAGAAUACCAAUUGCGAAGGCAGCUUUCUGGAUCAUUACUGACACUGAGGAACGAAAGCAUGGGUAGCGAAGAGGAUUAGAUACCCUCGUAGUCCAUGCCGUAAACGAUGUGUGUUAGACGUUGGGAAUUUAUUUUCAGUGUCGCAGCGAAAGCGAUAAACACACCGCCUGGGGAGUACGACCGCAAGGUUAAAACUCAAAUGAAUUGACGGGGACCCGCACAAGUAGUGGAGCAUGUGGUUUAAUUCGAAGAUACGCGCAGAACCUUACCAACACUUGACAUGUUCGUCGCGACUUUAAGAGAUUAAAGUUUUCGGUUCGGCCGGACGAAACACAGGUGCUGCAUGGCUGUCGUCAGCUCGUGUCGUGAGAUGUUGGGUUAAGUCCCGCAACGAGCGCAACCCUCACUUUUAGUUGCCAUCAUUAAGUUGGGCACUCUGAAAGAACUGCCAGUGAUAAGCUGGAGGAAGGUGGGGAUGACGUCAAGUCCUCAUGGCCCUUACGUGUUGGGCUACACACGUGCUACAAUGAUAUCUACAACAGGAAGCAAGACUGCGAAGUUAAGCAAAUCCUUAAAAGAUAUCUCAGUUCGGAUUGCACUCUGCAACUCGAGUGCAUGAAGCUGGAAUUACUAGUAAUCGUGGAUCAGCGUGCCACGGUGAAUGCGUUCCCGGGUCUUGUACACACCGCCCGUCACACCAUGGGAGUUGGUUCUACCUUAAGGCAAGGUUUAAAACCCUUGACCACGGUAUAGUCAGCGACUGGGGUGAAGUCGUAACAAGGUAGCCGUAGGGGAACCUGCGGCUGGAUUACCUCCUUU